Molecule: ribosomal RNA, 264 nt
Filed under: uncultured bacterium
Lineage: Bacteria
Description: partial 16S ribosomal RNA
Rfam family: Bacterial small subunit ribosomal RNA
Source: RNAcentral
GUCCACGCUGUAAACGAUGAGAACUAGAUGUUGGGGGUAGUAACCCUCCAGUGUCGCAGCUAACGCGUUAAGUUCUCCGCAUGGGGAGUACGGCCGCAAGGUUGAAACUCAAAGGAAUUGACGGGGACCCCGCACAAGCGGUGGAGCAUGUGGUUUAAUUCGAUGCAACGCGAAGAACCUUACCUGGUCUUGACAUCCUCGGAACUUGUCAGAGAUGACUUGGUGCCUUCGGGAACAGAGAGACAGGUGCUGCAUGGCUGUCGU